GGGCUUGCAGCUCAGUGGUAGAGCACUUGCCUUGUGUGUGUGAGAUUCUGGGUUCAAUUCUCAGCACCA
Molecule: transfer RNA, 69 nt
Filed under: Ictidomys tridecemlineatus (thirteen-lined ground squirrel)
Lineage: Eukaryota; Metazoa; Chordata; Mammalia; Rodentia; Sciuridae
Description: Spermophilus tridecemlineatus (thirteen-lined ground squirrel) tRNA
Rfam family: tRNA
About the family: Transfer RNA (tRNA) molecules are approximately 80 nucleotides in length.
Source: Rfam by way of RNAcentral